This 611-nucleotide unclassified non-coding RNA is filed under the name Hevea brasiliensis (rubber tree). The record is from RNAcentral. Lineage: Eukaryota; Viridiplantae; Streptophyta; Magnoliopsida; Malpighiales; Euphorbiaceae.
GAAGUCAUAAAUUACCAGAAUUGGUCCACAAAAACCUCACUUUUCACCCUUACGCUUCCAGACUCAUCCAAAUGAUGAACCUUUAAGCAUGAUUUUUAAAGGCUGAUAUCCUCAUAUCAGAAAGGUUUCAUUAAAGUAAUCUCCAAUAUAGGAAGCAGUUCCUCCUUGUGACCUCCAUAAAUAAUGUCUAUAAAGAAAACUUCUAGAAACCUAGUACAACACCCUUCUAAGAAUGAAAUAACAAUAUACAUCCAUAUCAUUAAUACCAUGCAAGCUGAACCAUGACAUGUCAACCAAAUAAAAAAGAUAAAAACUCAUAAACAGCAUAGCAUAAAUGUUUAGUAAAUGGAGUUCAUCCAAGCAAUAGAUUAUUAGCAAUGACAUCAUACAUGUUUCUGUAACAUUUUUAUAAACAAAUAUCAGAAUGUUCAUCACAUUAGGCACCUACAUUGACCACUUCAAAAUACAAAAAGUCACUAUUUAACAGAUCAGCCAGCAGUUCAAAAAAUGAUAGCAUCAUACAAGAAACUGAUAAAUUGCAAUCAAUGUCUAUCCCAUACCAGAAAAAACAAUAUCUGACAUUCAAUCAGUAGACAUUAGAUAAAUAUAAU